UGGGGAAUAUUGCACAAUGGGCGCAAGCCUGAUGCAGCAACGCCGCGUGAACGAUGAAGGUCUUCGGAUCGUAAAGUUCUGUUGCAGGGGAAGAUAAUGACGGUACCCUGUGAGGAAGCCCCGGCUAACUACGUGCCAGCAGCCGCGGUAAUACGUAGGGGGCUAGCGUUAUCCGGAUUUACUGGGCGUAAAGGGUGCGUAGGUGGUCUUUCAAGUCGGUGGUUAAAGGCUACGGCUCAACCGUAGUUAGCCUCCGAAACUGGAAGACUUGAGUGCAGGAGAGGAAAGUGGAAUUCCCAGUGUAGCGGUGAAAUGCGUAGAUAUUGGGAGGAACACCAGUAGCGAAGGCGGCUUUCUGGACUGCAACUGACACUGAGGCACGAAAGCGUGGGGAGCGAACAGG
This 403-nucleotide ribosomal RNA is filed under the name Verrucomicrobiota bacterium. RNAcentral's name for it is "Verrucomicrobia bacterium partial 16S ribosomal RNA". It matches the Rfam family "Bacterial small subunit ribosomal RNA", at positions 355 to 776 of the family's 1533-position model. The record is from RNAcentral. Lineage: Bacteria; Pseudomonadati; Verrucomicrobiota.